This is a long non-coding RNA of Hemicordylus capensis (graceful crag lizard), 616 nucleotides long. RefSeq lists it as uncharacterized. The record is from RefSeq and is a predicted model, not a curated record. NCBI's taxonomy places the organism in Eukaryota, Metazoa, Chordata, Lepidosauria, Squamata, Cordylidae. The transcript is spliced from 2 exons.
CUGGAAAGGGCCCCAAACUGCCUGAACUGGGUGAUUUUUGCAUAAAGGAAGGCUGGAAGAUGGAGGGGAACCUCCGUGGACCCCGCCGCCACCUCGGAGAAGAACCCUGGUUGGGGAGCUUUUUCUGAAAGAGAGGGAUGUUCUCAUCAUACUGCCAAACCUAGAAGGGAGCGCACCGUGAGAAAAUCAGAAACGCUUCUUUUUGGCUCCAAACAUCUGUGGAGCCAGACAACUUGGGAGAUGGCAGCUGAGAACUUCCAAACUUCCACCAGCUGACUUCAGAAGUUCAGAACACAAAGGAGUUCAGCUGAAGGCCACAACAGUGCAUCAUGCUGCUACCAGGGUUGGCAACCCUUCAGGAUUGGUCUGGAGCCCCCAGGCAUUGGCAUCGGCUAUGUCCCCUGCUAACUGAGCAAAGAGGCACCAUUUUAAAGUGGCAAUUCUCUUUAUUUAUCAGGGGGAGAGCAACUGGCCCUAUCCAUCCCUAGCACAACAUCCCUCCAAUGGAUGUUGCUGGUGUCUAUCUUAUGUUUCUUGUUUAGAUUGUGAGCCCUUUGGGGACAGUUCACUUUGGGAACUUUUGUUGAAAAUGUUAUAUAAAUAUUUGUCAUAUUUG